UGGGGAAUCUUGCGCAAUGGGCGAAAGCCUGACGCAGCAACGCCGCGUGAGCGAAGAAGGCCUUCGGGUUGUAAAGCUCUGUCAGGGGGAAAGAAGGCACCUGGGUUAAUAGCCCAAGGGCUGACGGUACCCCCAAAGGAAGCCACGGCUAACUACGUGCCAGCAGCCGCGGUAAUACGUAGGUGGCAAGCGUUGUCCGGAAUCAGUGGGCGUAAAGAGCGCGUAGGUGGCUUGUCAGGUCUGAUGUGAAAUUUCGGGGCUCAACUCCGAACCUGCAUCGGAAACCGGCUUGCUAGAGUCUGGGAGAGGAGAGUGGAAUUCCUGGUGUAGCGGUGAAAUGCGUAGAUAUCAGGAGGAACACCGGUAGCGAAGGCGGCCCUCUGGAACAGUACUGACGCUGAGGCGCGAAAGCUAGGGGAGCGAACAGG
RNAcentral lists this ribosomal RNA (428 nucleotides) under uncultured prokaryote. Its description in RNAcentral is "bacterial SSU rRNA". It matches the Rfam family "Bacterial small subunit ribosomal RNA", at positions 355 to 776 of the family's 1533-position model. RNAcentral also lists the same sequence under 1 other name. The record is from RNAcentral.